Non-coding RNA from Phyllostomus discolor (pale spear-nosed bat), 625 nucleotides. The record is from the annotation of a RefSeq genome assembly. Lineage: Eukaryota; Metazoa; Chordata; Mammalia; Chiroptera; Phyllostomidae.
GCAAAUAGGACCCCUCUGCUCAUGAAAAGCAGCCCAGCCCUGACCCUGCAGCUCUGGGACAGGAGCCCAGCUCAUGAUUCCCAGGUGUUCCCAGCUCCUGCUCAGGGCAGAGCACAGACCUCUCACCAUAGAGUUUGGGCUCAGCUGGGUUUUCCUUGUUGCUAUUUUAAGAGGUGUCCAGUGUGAUGUGCAGCUGGUGGAGUCUGGGGGAGGCUUGGUGAAGCCUGGGGGGUCUCUGAGACUCUCCUGUGCAGCCUCUGGAUUCUCCUUCAGUGGUGCCCAUAUGCACUGGGUCCACCAGCCCCCGAGGAAGGGGCUGGAUUGGGUGGCAGCUGUAUGCUAUGACGAAAGUCAGAAAUACUGUGCAGACUCUGUGAAAGGCCGAUUCACCAUCUCCAGAGACAAUGCCAAGAACACAUUGUAUCUGCGAACAAACAGCCUGAGAGCUAAAGACACAGCCGUGUAUUAUUGCACUACAGACACAAUGACAGAAAGUGUCUCUCCCUCUCUGCUGCAGUCCCUGCUCCUCUCAGCAAAGGAGAACAGGUGUCCAGUGAAAGGUGCAGCUGGUGGAGUCUGGUGGAAGCUUGGUGCAGCCUGGGGAACCUCUGAGACUCGCCUGUGA